CUUUGUUUUAUUAGCUGACAGUUUAAGGUGUGCCUUUUAUCACUGGCUAAAUAUACAGAGAGGGGAAGUUGUUCAGGAUUAAACUAUGUGCCAGUGUGUACGUCUAACCAAGUGUUGCAACACCCUUAUUUAUAGCUUUCUGACAGUGCCCAAAGGUGACUGCAAUAUCAAAUAUGAUCACCCGUUUUUGCCCACAACACACUUCGUGACGUGUCCGAUGCAGCACAUGGGGGAAAGUUAACAAAGCAAGUUUCAUUUUCCCCUCAAUGCGUUCUCGUUUGUGUGUUUAUUUAUUUAUUUUUUUGUGUCACACAGAAGCUUUCAUUUUUGUUUUGCGAGCGCAGAUAUUGAUAUUUGUGGUUUGACCCAGCGCGCCACUGCCAAUGCCAUAAGGGCAACCCAAAUGGCCUGAGGGGUUGUUGCCAAGGGGACAAAGCAAACAAACUGUUGUGCUUCUUAUGUUGUCACACACGUGAAGGGAGCAGGAGCAGAGCUAACACCUUCCAGUGGCAGGAACAGGAAGCAUCAGAUCAAAUGAUCAAAUAAACUCCAGAUGCACGUGGGCUGCCAUGCAUCUUGCCGCAGGAGCCAAAGUGUUCAGGGCUACUUGAUAUGGGCCAGGAGCGAGGCAAGUGGCAUCACCACCCCCUUUUCUUCAGUCAUGUGCACUCAUGCAGUGGCCAGCACCUAAUUAAAACCUCAAAGCUCCCGUCACCAA
Molecule: long non-coding RNA, 718 nt
Organism: Oryzias melastigma (Indian medaka)
Lineage: Eukaryota; Metazoa; Chordata; Actinopteri; Beloniformes; Adrianichthyidae
Exons: 2
Source: RefSeq, a predicted model, not a curated record